CCUACGGGAGGCUGCAGUGGGGAAUAUUGGACAAUGGGGGGAACCCUGAUCCAGCCAUGCCGCGUGUGUGAAGAAGGCCCUCGGGUUGUAAAGCACUUUCAGUGAGGAAGAACGCCUGGUGGUUAAUACCCAUCAGGAAAGACAUCACUCACAGAAGAAGCACCGGCUAACUCCGUGCCAGCAGCCGCGGUAAUACGGAGGGUGCGAGCGUUAAUCGGAAUUACUGGGCGUAAAGCGCGCGUAGGUGGCUUGAUAAGCCGGUUGUGAAAGCCCCGGGCUCAACCUGGGAACGGCAUCCGGAACUGUCAAGCUAGAGUGCAGGAGAGAAAGGUAGAAUUCCCGGUGUAGCGGUGAAAUGCGUAGAGAUCGGGAGGAAUACCAGUGGCGAAGGCGGCCUUCUGGACUGACACUGACACUGAGGUGCGAAAGCGUGGGUAGCAAACAGGAUUAGAUACCCUUGUAGUC
Molecule: ribosomal RNA, 465 nt
Filed under: Vreelandella stevensii
Lineage: Bacteria; Pseudomonadati; Pseudomonadota; Gammaproteobacteria; Oceanospirillales; Halomonadaceae
Description: partial 16S ribosomal RNA
Rfam family: Bacterial small subunit ribosomal RNA
Source: RNAcentral